Molecule: long non-coding RNA, 876 nt
Organism: Alligator sinensis (Chinese alligator)
Lineage: Eukaryota; Metazoa; Chordata; Crocodylia; Alligatoridae
Exons: 2
Source: RefSeq, a predicted model, not a curated record
GGCCGCGGGCCUUGGGGCCUAGGCGAGCCCGAGCCUCAGUUCCCCACGCCUUGCGCCGGGGGAGGAGGCAUGGCCUGACCUCAGCCGCGGGGAUGCCAAGGCUCCACCUACAGCAUGUGGCACGCAGGCCAGAGGUUGGACACCCCCGCCUGAGACUGCUCGGCCAGGCUGCCCACGGAAAGGCACAUCGGUUUGUGCAGCACCAAGUACAACAGCUAUAAACAGUCCUCAGGGAACACAGCAACCCCUUGUAAGCGCAAUAGGAAUUUACCAAUGUUUCCGCUACUAUUUAUUAUCCACCUAGGAAUAGCAAAAGAACUGACGUUUAAGAGUAACAGUUGUGCAAGGCAUAUGCAGUGUUGUGAUAUGAUGAUGCAUUAUAUCUUGCCCUUUCCUUCUUUCAGGCCUUAUAGUAGCAUCCUUCCUUUUCACUCUCCAACCUCUUAAAAACAAAAAUGCCAAAAAAGCCCCCCUCACCUCACAGGAAUAGAUGAUCAGAGAGUGUUAAACUACAAGAAUUUAAACAAAAUCAACGGCAAUAGUGGGAGUCACUCAGGUCAGUUAGACGCAGAAUCUGGAAAUGGAGGAAUAAGUUUCCGACUAUGAAAAUGGAUUAAUGAAGAGCUGUCGUAAAAUGCAAGCGUGAAGGACAAGAGGUAACAUCAAUGAGGUUCUGUGUAGUUAAAGAAGGCGGCACAGAGAACAGUGCUCUCCAGACCUUCAAAUCAAGGAAAAAGACACUUCAGCUUGCCACUUCAUUUGGACUGUAAGGCUUGCCAUGACUGAAAUGUUUCUUCCAUCAUGUAAACUAAAGUCCGGGGGAGAGGUGGGGUGGGAAGGGAAGGAAAUAGAUGAGCAUGCAGGUGAAAAAAAAAA